CUUUGUUGAUCCUGCUAGUAGUCAUAUGCUUGUCUCAAAGAUUAAGCCAUGCAUGUGUAAGUAAGAACUAAUUUAGACUGUGAAAUUAUGAAUGGGUCAUUAAAUUAGUUAUAGUUUGUUUGAUGGUAUCUACUACUCAGAUAACUAUAGUAAUUCUAUAAAUGAAGCAUGCAACAAACCCCUGCUUCUAGAAAGGAUGCAUUUAUUAGAUAAAAGGUUGAUGCGAGCUUUGCCCUUUGCUCUAAUGAUUCAUUAUAACUCGACGGAUCACACAGCCUUUGUGCCAGUGAUGCAUCAUUCAAAUUUUUGCCCUCUCAACUUUUGAUGGUAGAAUAGUGGCAUACUAUGGUGUGACCGAUAAUAGAGAAUUCGGUUUUGAUUCCAGAGAGGGAACCUGUGAAAAGGCUAACACAUCCAAAGAAGGCUGCAAGCAAAAAAUUACCCAAUCUUGACACAGAGAGGUUGUGAUAAUAAAUAACAAUACUAGGCUUUAUGAGUCUAUUAAUUGAAAUUAAUACAAUCUAAAUACCUUAAUGAGGAUCUUUUAGAAGGUAAGUCUAGUGCUAGCAGCCAUGGUAAUUCUAGCUUUAAUAGCAUAUAUUUAAGUUGUUGCAAUUAAAAAACUCGUAGUUGAAACUAGGGUUGGGUCGCCUAGUCCACCUCACGGUGAGCACCAGUCUACUUAUCCUUAUAACCAAUGAUGCGCUCUUAACCUUAACUAGCCAGGUCAUUCCUCUGGCAAUGCUACUUUGAAGAAAUUAGAGUGCUCAAAGUAGGCCUAUGUUUGUAUACAUCAGUAUAGGAUAACAUCCUAAGAUUUUGGUGCUAUUGUGUUGGCUUUUGGGAUUAGAGUAAUGAUUAACAGAGACAGUUAAGGGCUUUCAUAUUUUAUAAUCAAAGGUGAAAUUUUUGGAUUUAUGAAAGAUGAACAACUGCAAAAGCAUUUGCUAAAGAUGUUUUCCUUAAUUAAGAAAGAAAGUUGAGGGCUUAAAGUUGAUCAAAUACCAUCUUACUCUCAACUAUAAAUGAUGUCAACCAAGGAUCAACGAAUGUUACUUUUAGGACUCUGUCGGCACCUUAUGAAAAAUCAAAGUUUUCGGAUUCUAAGGGGAGUAUGGUUGCAAGGCUGAAACUUAAAAGAAUUGAUGGAAGGGCACCACUAGGAGUGGAGCUUGUAGUUUAAUUUGACUCAACAUAAGGGAACUUAUUAGGUCCCGAUAUAGUAAGAAUUGACAUAUUGAGAGCUCUUUCUUGAUUCUAUAGGUGGUGGUGUAUGGCCAUUAUUAAUUGGUAAAGUGAUUUGUCAGCUUAAUUCUAUUAACGAAUAAGACUUUAGCCUAUUAACUAGUUACAAGGAGAUGAUCCUUCAUGGCUAGCUUCUUAAAGGGACUAUGGCUACUUAGAUUAAGGAAGUUUGAGGGAAUAAUAGGUUUAUGAUGCCUUUAGAUGUUUUGGGCUAAACGUGUGCUAUACUGAUGUGUUCAACGAGUCUAUAGCCUGGUUGACAGGCCGAGGUAAUCUUUGAAAUUUCAUUAUGAUAGGCAUAGAUCAUUGCAAUUGUUGGUCUUCAAUGAGGAAUUCCUAGUAAGUGCGAGUUAUCAGCUUAUGUUGAAACAUCAUUACCUUUUGUACACAUCACUUGUCGCUCUUACCAAUUGAAUGGUCCAGUGAAGUGUUCAGAUUGCAGUGACUAUGGGUGUAAACGAGUCGAGCCGAGCCGAAUAGUGAGAAGCUCGAGCUCGAGCUCGACUCACAACUCGGGGCUCGAUACUCG
RNAcentral lists this ribosomal RNA (1774 nucleotides) under Durio zibethinus. RNAcentral describes it as "SSU rRNA". It matches the Rfam family "Eukaryotic small subunit ribosomal RNA". Lineage: Eukaryota; Viridiplantae; Streptophyta; Magnoliopsida; Malvales; Malvaceae. The record is from RNAcentral.